Molecule: ribosomal RNA, 405 nt
Filed under: uncultured bacterium
Lineage: Bacteria
Description: partial 16S ribosomal RNA
Rfam family: Bacterial small subunit ribosomal RNA
Source: RNAcentral
AUUGAACGCUAGCGGCAUGCUUUACACAUGCAAGUCGAACGAGUGGCGGACGGGUGAGUAAUAUAUCGGAACGUGCCCAGUAGCGGGGGUUAACUACUCGAAAGAGUGGCUAAUACCGCAUACUUUUGGAGCGGCCGAUAUCGGAUUAGCUUGUUGGUGGGGUAAAGGCUCACCAGGGCAACGAUCCGUAGCUGGUUUGAGAGGACGACCAGCCACACUGGGACUGAGGCACGGCCCAGACGCCUACGGUAGGCAGCAGGGGGGAAGUUUGGACAAUGGGGGAAACCCUGAUGCAGCCAUCCCGCGUGUAUGAGAAGGCCUGCGGGUUGUAGAGUACUUUUGGCAGAGAAGCGGUAUCUGCAGAAUAAGCACUGGCUAACUACGUGCCAGCAGCCGCGGUAAUAC